UUUGAUCCUGGCUCAGAUUGAACGCUGGCGGCAUGCCUUACACAUGCAAGUCGAACGGCAGCACGGGAGCAAUCCUGGUGGCGAGUGGCGAACGGGUGAGUAAUACAUCGGAACGUGCCCAAUCGUGGGGGAUAACGCAGCGAAAGCUGUGCCAAUACCGCAUAAGAUCUACGGAUGAAAGCAGGGGACUCGCAAGGGCCUUGCGCGAAUGGAGCGGCUGAUGGCAGAUUAGGUAGUUGGUGAGGUAAAGGCUCACCAAGCCUUCGAUCUGUAGCUGGUCUGAGAGGACGACCAGCCACACUGGGACUGGGACACGGCCCAGACUCCUACGGGAGGCAGCAGUGGGGAAUUUUGGACAAUGGGCGCAAGCCUGAUCCAGCCAUGCCGCGUGCAGGAUGAAGGCCUUCGGGUUGUAAACUGCUUUUGUACGGAACGAAAAGGUUCUUUCUAAUAAAGAGAGCUCAUGACGGUACCGUAAGAAUAAGCACCGGCAAACUACGUGCCAGCAGCCGCGGUAAUACGUAGGGUGCGAGCGUUAAUCGGAAUUACUGGGCGUAAAGCGUGCGCAGGCGGUGAUGUAAGACAGUUGUGAAAUCCCCGGGCUCAACCUGGGAACUGCAUCUGUGACUGCAUCGCUGGAGUGCGGCAGAGGGGGAUGGAAUUCCGCGUGUAGCAGUGAAAUGCGUAGAUAUGCGGAGGAACACCGAUGGCGAAGGCAAUCCCCUGGGCCUGCACUGACGCUCAUGCACGAAAGCGUGGGGAGCAAACAGGAUUAGAUACCCUGGUAGUCCACGCCCUAAACGAUGUCAACUGGUUGUUGGGUCUUCACUGACUCAGUAACGAAGCUAACGCGUGAAGUUGACCGCCUGGGGAGUACGGCCGCAAGGUUGAAACUCAAAGGAAUUGACGGUGACCCGCACAAGCGGUGGAUGAUGUGGUUUAAUUCGAUGCAACGCGAAAAACCUUACCCACCUUUGACAUGUACGGAAUUUGCCAGAGAUGGCUUAGUGCUCGAAAGAGAGCCGUAACACAGGUGCUGCAUGGCUGUCGUCAGCUCGUGUCGUGAGAUGUUGGGUUAAGUCCCGCAACGAGCGCAACCCUUGUCAUUAGUUGCUACAUUCAGUUGGGCACUCUAGUGAGACUGCCGGUGACAAACCGGAGGAAGGUGGGGAUGACGUCAAGUCCUCAUGGCCCCUAUAGGUGGGGCUACACACGUCAUACAAUGGCUGGUACAAAGGGUUGCCAACCCGCGAGGGGGAGCUAAUCCCAUAAAACCAGUCGUAGUCCGGAUCGCAGUCUGCAACUCGACUGCGUGAAGUCGGAAUCGCUAGUAAUCGUGGAUCAGAAUGUCACGGUGAAUACGUUCCCGGGUCUUGUACACACCGCCCGUCACACCAUGGGAGCGGGUUCUGCCCGAAGUAGUUAGCCUAACCGCAAGGAGGGCGAUUACCACGGCAGGGUUCGUGACUGGGGUGAAGUCGUAACAAGGUA
Molecule: ribosomal RNA, 1491 nt
Filed under: metagenome
Description: bacterial SSU rRNA
Rfam family: Bacterial small subunit ribosomal RNA
Source: RNAcentral